AAAUUUAAGCCCUUGUUUGGUUGGGAGUUAAGGGGUAAAAUAACCUCUUAACCUCUAUUUUAUCCCCAAAUAUUCUAAAAAAUGGGUGGGGUUAGCUACCUCAAAUAAAUUAUCCUGAGUUAGCUAAUCCCACCUAACCCAACCAAACUCCAACCAAAUACAAUUUUCUAUUCAUAAUAACCCAUUAUCUUUCUUAUCACACCUACUCCAACCAAUCAUUAUCCUUCUUUAUCAAUCAUUAUCUUUUUAUCCCACCUAUUUCAACCAAACACUAUUUUUCAUUAUUCUAAACUAACUCCAACCCCCAACCAAAUACAAAAAAAUUUUAACCCCACUUUAACCCUGAACUUAACUCUAUCCCUGGAAUAGCUACUUUUUCCUUAACCCCGAACCAAACGGAGGCUAAAGGUCCAAAAAUUCCAUACAAAGCUCCUCAUAUAAAAAUGCAUGAGGAGCUGCAUAUCAAUUUCCUUCAUCUAAAUAUUAAUUUUAAUAAAUCAUCAAACAACAUAUCCUUUCUCUAAUUUGAAAUUUACUUUCUAAAUGAAAAUA
This 552-nucleotide long non-coding RNA is filed under the name Ananas comosus (pineapple). RNAcentral describes it as "long non-coding RNA (ACOM_LNC010920)". The record is from RNAcentral. Lineage: Eukaryota; Viridiplantae; Streptophyta; Magnoliopsida; Poales; Bromeliaceae.